GAUGAACGCUGGCGGCGUGCUUAACACAUGCAAGUCGAACGGAAAGGCCAGUGCUUGCCCUGGUGCUCGAGUGGCGAACGGGUGAGUAACACGUGGGUGAUCUGCCCUGCACUUUGGGAUAAGCCUGGGAAACUGGGUCUAAUACCAGAUAGGACCAUGCUUUGGAUGGUGUGGUGGAAAGUUUUUUCGGUGUGGGAUGAGCUUGCGGCCUAUCAGCUUGUUGGUGGGGUAAUGGCCUACCAAGGCGUCGACGGGUAGCCGGCCUGAGAGGGUGUACGGCCACAUUGGGACUGAGAUACGGCCCAGACUCCUACGGGAGGCAGCAGUGGGGAAUAUUGCACAAUGGGCGCAAGCCUGAUGCAGCGACGCCGCGUGGGGGAUGACGGCCUUCGGGUUGUAAACUCCUUUCGCAACUGACGAAGCUUUUUGUGACGGUAGGUUGAGAAGAAGCACCGGCUAACUACGUG
Molecule: ribosomal RNA, 467 nt
Filed under: uncultured bacterium
Lineage: Bacteria
Description: partial 16S ribosomal RNA
Rfam family: Bacterial small subunit ribosomal RNA
Source: RNAcentral